This 399-nucleotide ribosomal RNA is filed under the name uncultured bacterium. Its description in RNAcentral is "partial 16S ribosomal RNA". It matches the Rfam family "Bacterial small subunit ribosomal RNA", at positions 121 to 502 of the family's 1533-position model. The record is from RNAcentral.
CCGAUCUACCCUUUGGCGGGGGAUAACCAGGAAGAAAUCCUGGACUAAUACCGCAUAAGAAAAAAGGCUCUUAAGGCCUUUNUUGAAAGGAUGCUUCGGCAUUCACCGAAGGAUGAGCCUGCGGGACAUUAGCUUGAUGGUGGGGGAANUNGCCNACCAUGGCGACGAUGUCUAGCUGGNCUGAGAGGAUGAUCAGUCACACUGGAACUGAGACACGGUCCAGACUCAUACUUGNAGGCAGCAGNGGGGAAUAUUGCGCAAUGGGGGAAACCCUGACGCAGAACGCCGCNUGAGUGAGGAAGGCUUNCGGNUCGUNAAGCUCUGNCUGAUGGGAAGAACGGCACCUGGNCCAAUAGGCCUUGGGNUUGNCGGUACCNUCAACNGAAGCNCCGGCUAACU